Molecule: long non-coding RNA, 4475 nt
Organism: Macaca mulatta (Rhesus monkey)
Lineage: Eukaryota; Metazoa; Chordata; Mammalia; Primates; Cercopithecidae
Source: Ensembl
AUGAAGGACUCUGCUCCGGCGUAUGUAGUCUGUUCACCCCUGUUUAAACAGAGAAGCUUCUCAUGGCUGACUUCUUUUGGAAGAUAUACUCUCUUUUCACAACUCCCACAGAGCCCAGCAACCCACAGCAGAGCUCCCAAGAGAAAAUCAAGAAUGAAAUUCCCAAAGCCUUCUUCAUUUUUAUCCCUCAGACUCACGAAGGACUCUGGCUGGGGUCUGGGAGCCCUCAAACACUACCAAGCCAAAUCUCUUGUUUCUCCGAGUGCAUAUUCAUAGUUCUUUGUUGCAGGAAGCUGGGAGUCUCCCCAUCUAGCCAGAAACAAGAUUGACUCUCCCAUGCACAGAUCGCACAGCACUCUCUGAUCUCUGAAGAGGUAACACGGGAGAGGACCUUGGCAGGACCAGGUGCUGAUUCUUAGUCAGCUGCAUCUAGCAUUUGUCCCUUAGAUUUUUCUCUUUCCUUUUUUAUUCUCUAAUACUUCCUGGGCAUCUACCAUGUAUGUGCAAGUUGUAAAUUGAAUAACUAACAAGGAUUCCUCCCCCAAUAUAACCUAGAAAAGUUAUUUUCUCCCCUUUCCAAUGCAGAGCUCUGUUAAGCUCCCAGGUAUGGAUCUCGUUAUUGGCACUGAAGCUCAGUAUAAAAUGGUGUUAUAUCUGAACCCUGCUCCAUAAAGCUCAUGUGGAUCCAUCAUAGAAUUUACACUAAGUUAUACCUGAAACAAGAAAGCUUCAUUUUCUACCCGUAAGACCUAUGAGAUAAAGAAAUAGUUCAAAUAAUUGAAUGGAAUCAGGCCAAUGUGAAAUAAAGAGUGACUCUGAGCCCUAAAUAUAGUAAAAUAUAAGCAUAUAACCAAUAGCAGGAGAGCAGAGGGUUAAACUUUAUCUAUCCUUAAAUUUUCUUGUUAUUUUAUUUCAAAUUAUCCUUGUUGCAAUAUCUCAUUUAUAUCCAAAUAUAUCUACCAUUGGUGAAAAAUUGUUCCCUACUUCUACAAUUCAAUCAUUUAAUUAAAUUCAUGUAACUUAAUUCAACCCUUACAACCAUGUAGAGAGGUGAUUGUUAUUGUUAUUAUAAUUGAUGAUGUCCAGGCAGCCUGAGUUUAAGUAAUUUUGUCAACGGUCAAAUAAUUUAGUAAAUGACAGAUAUACUAAUAGUACUUCAAUGACAAUGCCUUGUAAUCAUCACAUGGAACCUGCCAAUCGCUAGAGUAGGCAAGACAAAUGCCUGUAUUGGAACAGAUAUAUUUUAAAUGCCUAUAUUGGAUAUUCCUGUAAAAGAAAGUGAACACUAUAGAUAACUGUAGAUCUAAACCUCAUGAGGGAAGGUCUUUUGGUGUCUGCAUGUGUCUGUUUUAUUCAUUAUUCUACUCUUCAUACCUACAAAAACAACUGUUGCUUAUUGUGAAUUUGAUAAGUAAGUGUAUAAUGAAUGAAUUCAAUGUGUGUCUGUCAUUUAAUGCCUAAGUUUUCUAUCUCUCCAUGAUGCUUACUUUUGUCUUUUCUGUGCCACAUUAUUCUCCUAAAAAUACCCCUAAAACUUAAUUGCCUACAUACUUGGAAUUUUAUCUAUUGGUUAAGUUUUCAUGCAUUUCAUCUUAUUCCUGGAUUACUUUGUAAGAUUUUUCAGGUAAGUUCAUUCCGCUUAAGAGUAACAUUUUAUACUACUAUCAGUAUAGUCAAAGGUCCUAAUACACUACAUUGUACACAUAGGGGAUACAUAUUUAUUCUCGGUGAAUAUGUAUUCUUCUUGCUUACUUACUAGAUGAUUAGCCACCAAUUUAACCAAGUCAAUGCAGUCUUUUUUACAUUAUUAACUGAAGAAAAGUGGUGCCCUUUAAAGAUGUUCUUAAGAUUAAGAAACAAAAAGAAGUCAGAAGGAGCCAAAUCAGCACUGUGAGGUGGAUGCCUCAUGAUUUCCCACAGAAACUUGUAUAAAAUUGUCCUUGCUUGAUGAGAGGAAUAAGUUGGAGCAUUGUCAUGGUGGAAAGGGAUUCUCUGGUGAAGAUUUCCAGGCAUUUUUCUGCUAAAGCUCUGGCUAACUUUCUCAAAACAUCCUUAUAAUAAGCAGAUGCUAUCAUUCUUUGACCCUCCAGAAAUUCAGUAAACAAAAUGCCGUGAGCAUUGCAAGAAAACUGUUGCCAUGACUUUUGCUCUUGAAUGGGCCACUUUUACUUUGACUGGACCUCCACCUCUUGGUAAUCAUUGCUUUAAUUGUGCUUUAUCUUCGGAAUCACAAGGAUAAAGCCAUGUUUCAUCUCCUGUUCCAAUUAUUUGAAGAAAUUUUUCAGGAUCAUUAUCCCACUUGUUCAAAAUUUCAAUUGAAAGCUCUGCUCUUAUCUGGAGCUGAUCUGAGCAUACUGGUUUUGGCACCCAUCAAGUACAAAGUUUGCUCAACUUGAAUUUUUCAGUCAGAAUUGUGUGAGCUAAACCAAUUGAGACAUUUAUAGUGUUGGCUAUUGUUUCCACUGUUAAUCAUCGGUCCUUUUCGAUUAAGGCACAUAUGGUUAAUUUUUUCUUCAUAAAUUGUUGUGGAAUGUCUCCACUGUGGGCUUCAUCAGCAUCCUCUUGUCUAUUCUUUUUUUUUUUUUUUUUUUUUUUGAGACGGAGUCUCGCUCUGUCGCUCAGACUGGAGUGCAGUGGCACUAUCUCGGCUCACUGCAACCUCUGUCUCCUGGGUUCAAGCGAUUCUCCUGCCUCAGUCUCCUGAGUAGCUGGGAUUACAGGCAUGCGCCCACCACACCAAGCUAAUUUUUGUAUUUUUAGUAGAGACGAGGUUUCACCCUGUUGGUCAGGCUGGUCUCGAACUCCUAACCUCGUGAUCCACCCAUCUCGGUCUCCCAAAGUGCUGGGAUUACAGGUGUGAGCCACCACGCCCAGCCCCUCUUGUCUAUUCUUAAACAAAUUAUCCAUUUUGUUUAAGAACGGACAGACGAGAGGAUGGCUGAUUUUAUUGGGGUGUUGAGCCUAUAAAUUUUUCAUAAAGCAUCAAUGAUUUCACCAUUCUUCCACUGAAGUUUCACCGUAAAUUUGAUGUUUGUUCUUGCUUCAAGCUUAACAGAAUUCAUGUUGCUCUGAUAGGGGUGCCUUUCAAACUGAUGUCUUAUCCUUCUUAGUGCCUUAAACUAAAUUCUGUUCAGAUAUGUUAUAACAACUUAGUAUAAGUUUAUUUUGGUGCAAAAAAGUUUGAAACCCAUGCAUAGUUUUUCAUAAUACGCAAUUUCCUUUUUCCAUAAACUUUUUGAAGACACCUAGCAUUUAUUGAAUAAAGUGAUCUGAAAAUUCAACAAUUCACAAAGAGUGUUGAAUUUAUUUUUAUUCAUCUUUCAGUCAUAUGUUUCUGAAUUACCUUAGCCAAUUCUUCCAGCUCAAUCUAGUGGCCAAGUGGCAAAUUGCUUAUUGUGGCAGUUCUUUCUCUUCAGUCAUUGGUCAAAAAUUUGGUAUGUCUAACUUCAAAUCAAAGACUCAGGGAUUAGGAUGUUUUUGAUGAAUGAUAACUCUGAAAAUGGUCUAUGAGUGUAGCGAGGUAUUUUCUUAGAGUGUUUUCCUCCGAUGCUACACCUGUGCUGUCACAACCAUAGCCACUUCCUGUCUGUGAUGGUGAAUCCUUUCUUUGGUCUCUCCAGCAGAUGGAUGUCUCAAGCAGACCCGUGGGGUUUUGUGCACCUCCCUCCAACAGUUCUCUCACUGUAGCCUCUUUCAGUGCACAAAAACACAUCACUGAGUUCUCCAGUUGUGAAGUGGAGAUGACAAGUUGAUGGAUUUGCUUGUCUUCUGCAAAUUCAAUGAGUAGUGACCUAUUGCAUAUUGCAGAUCAUGAGUCCUGAUGAAUAAGAAAAAUCAUCUCCCCACUCCUGGGCUACUUGUACCAGAACAGACUAUAACUUCCAGCACUAGUGUCAUAAUUGCAGUCCAGAGUCACAGCGUCCUUCUCAUGCACCAAUACUGAUGGUUUAACUUGAGUUGCUUGUCAGCAAAACCAGAUUCUGAAGGAGAAAACAAAGAACCAAAAGGUUUAGGGAUGAGUAAUGUGGAACGAAGAAAUUCUACUUUUACACCCUGUUACUUCUUCUGUACCAAAGUUUUGAUAAGACAUUUCCCAGUUCUUAGGUCUUAGAGGAAGACCAUUCCCACCAGGGGCAUCCCUACCUAGCCACAUUGAAGCUGUGACCACCCUCAGGCAGCUGGAGAGCAACAUGUUUGGUUCUUUCUCCAGACAGAAUAUAUUUUGUUCUUCUUAAAAUUCAGGGCUCUGCAUUGUGAGGUGAGUCUGAUGAAGUAAGAGAAGAGUUACUGGACUAUGUGCUGCUGCUGCUGCUGCUGCUGCUACCCCAGAAUAGGGAACAGGGGUUUUCCAGUGUAGCAAGCUAGUGUGUGCUCUCUAACACUUCUCUAUGUACUGGCUAAGAACCUCACCCAAUGCAAACUUCCUUUGGCACUUACCCACCCUUAAUUUGAUACUAAAUAACUUAAAUAUGAAA